This 545-nucleotide ribosomal RNA is filed under the name uncultured bacterium. RNAcentral's name for it is "bacterial SSU rRNA". It matches the Rfam family "Bacterial small subunit ribosomal RNA", at positions 56 to 601 of the family's 1533-position model. The record is from RNAcentral.
UGCAAGUCGAGGGGUAUAUGGGGCUUGCUCCAUAGAGACCGGCAAACGGGUGCGGAACACGUACACAACCUACCCUUAUCUUGGGGAUAGCCUUUCGAAAGGAAGAUUAAUACCCAAUAGUAUAUUAGAGUGGCAUCACUUAAAUAUUAAAGAACUUCGGAUAAGGAUGGGUGUGCGUAAGAUUAGAUAGUUGGUGAGGUAACGGCUCACCAAGUCAACGAUCUUUAGCUGAUGUGAGAGCAUGAUCAGCCACACGGGCACUGAGACACGGGCCCGACUCCUACGGGAGGCAGCAGUGAGGAAUAUUGGGCAAUGGACGGAAGUCUGACCCAGCCAUGCCGCGUGAAGGAUGAAGGCGUUCUGCGUUGUAAACUUCUUUUACCUGGGAAGAAACCACAGAUUUCUAUUUGUGUUGACGGUACCAGGGGAAUAAGCACCGGCUAACUCCGUGCCAGCAGCCGCGGUAAUACGGAGGGUGCAAGCGUUAUCCGGAUUUACUGGGUUUAAAGGGUGUGUAGGCGGGCUAUUAAGUCUGGGGUGAAAUC